CAGAGUUCAUGCCCGAAAGGGUAGACCUCCCACCCUUGUGUAUUUAUACUUUGUUGCUUUGGCGGGCCGCCGCAAGGCUACCGGCUUCGGCUGGUGCGUGCCCGCCAGAGAACCUUCAAACUCUGAAUGUUAGUGUCGUCUGAGUACUAUAUAAUAGUUA
Molecule: unclassified non-coding RNA, 160 nt
Filed under: uncultured Vestigium
Lineage: Eukaryota; Fungi; Ascomycota; Leotiomycetes; Helotiales
Description: sequence contains ITS1
Source: RNAcentral